Mirounga angustirostris (Northern elephant seal) is the source of this 703-nucleotide long non-coding RNA. RefSeq lists it as uncharacterized. Lineage: Eukaryota; Metazoa; Chordata; Mammalia; Carnivora; Phocidae. The transcript is spliced from 3 exons. The record is from RefSeq and is a predicted model, not a curated record.
CUUUUCAGCACACGUGCUGGACUUUCUCCUUCAUAGUUCUCAUCACAACAACUGUUGGGGGGAAAGCCAGCAAUUGUUAAAUCUCUGGCAAAUGUGACAAUCCUCACCAGAAAUGGCUGUCACUGCUGUCAAGGUGCACGGGACGUUACGUUUGCCGUUGUCGGAGCAUGUUCGUUGAUUGUAGACGUCAGUCCUAGCAUAAACCCAAACUCAGCACACACGUAAGGACUCUGAGUGCAGCUACCAGGCAUUCCCUCCGUGAAACAAGGGUCCUCGACAGUGCGGUUACGAAAGCUCAUGAAGUCAGGAGCUGGGGCAGCCAUCUUGCAAGCAUGAGGAGGCAAACCUGAAGACAAAAGCCAGCAAUGCUGAGGAUGGAGAAGCCAAAAGCUGCCGUACCGCGAGCUGCCUUGUAGGGAGGCCUAUGUGGCCGAGAACUGAGGGAGACCCCCAAACAAUAGCCAGUGAGGAGCUGAGACCCUCAGUCCAACAGUCUGCAAGAAAUAGCAUGCUGCCAACAAUCACACGCAUUGACGUGGAAGAGGGGUCUCUCCCAGUCAAACCUUCGGAUGGGACCACAGCCCUGGACGACAGAUUAACCGCAACCUCAUGAGAUCCCUGGAGCCAGAAGCUCCCAGCUAAGCCAUGCCUGGAUUCAUAAUCCACAAGAAUUGUAACAUAAUAAAGGAUUAUUGUAAGCUGC